This 292-nucleotide long non-coding RNA is filed under the name Olea europaea (common olive). RNAcentral's name for it is "long non-coding RNA (OEUR_LNC012772)". The record is from RNAcentral. Lineage: Eukaryota; Viridiplantae; Streptophyta; Magnoliopsida; Lamiales; Oleaceae.
AGAAACGCUUUCACCUAAUUAAUGCCACCAUUCUGCACACCUAUAUCGGAAUUUGUACCCAAGAAUUUUGGACUUCGUCGCUUAAGGUUUUGGACGAAAAAGAGUUGCUGAUUUGUGAAAGACUAUUUGCUUUCUUCCCCUCAUGUAUCUAUAUGUAAAUAUUCGUAUGUAUUCCCAAGACUAUUAGCUUUCUUCUCCUUUUCUACUCAGCUUGUUCUACAAAGUGGAUUCGUGAUUUAUUUAUUUAUUUAUUUUUAUUUUUUUGGGGAAAUUAUGUGAAAUUGGAUUUUUU